AAAUUGAAGAGUUUGAUCAUGGCUCAGAUUGAACGCUGGCGGCAGGCCUAACACAUGCAAGUCGAACGGUAACAGGAAGCAGCUUGCUGCUUUGCUGACGAGUGGCGGACGGGCGAGUAAUGUCUGGGAAACUGCCUGAUGGAGGGGGAUAACUACUGGAAACGGUAGCUAAUACCGCAUAACGGCGCAAGACCAAAGAGGGGGACCUUCGGGCCUCUUGCCAUCGGAUGUGCCCAGAUGGGAUUAGCUAGGAGGUGGGGUAACGGCUCAACUAGGCGACGAU
RNAcentral lists this ribosomal RNA (283 nucleotides) under Escherichia coli. RNAcentral describes it as "partial 16S ribosomal RNA". It matches the Rfam family "Bacterial small subunit ribosomal RNA", at positions 1 to 280 of the family's 1533-position model. Lineage: Bacteria; Pseudomonadati; Pseudomonadota; Gammaproteobacteria; Enterobacterales; Enterobacteriaceae. The record is from RNAcentral.